AACGAACGCUGGCGGCAUACCUAACACAUGCCAGUCGAACGAGACCUUCGGGUCUAGUGGCGCACGGGUGCGUAACGCGUGGGAACCUGCCCUUAGGUUCGGAAUAACUCCCCGAAAGGGGUGCUAAUACCGGAUAAUGUCUUCGGACCAAAGAUUUAUCGCCUUUGGAUGGGCCCGCGUUGGAUUAGCUAGUUGGUAGGGUAAAAGCCUACCAAGGCGACGAUCCAUAGCUGGUCUGAGAGGAUGAUCAGCCACACUGGGACUGAGACACGGCCCAGACUCCUACGGGAGGCAGCAGUGGGGAAUAUUGGACAAUGGGCGAAAGCCUGAUCCAGCAAUGCCGCGUGAGUGAUGAAGGCCUUAGGGUUGUAAAGCUCUUUUACCCGGGAUGAUAAUGACAGUACCGGGAGAAUAAGCUCCGGCUAACUCCGUG
RNAcentral lists this ribosomal RNA (433 nucleotides) under uncultured bacterium. RNAcentral describes it as "partial 16S ribosomal RNA". It matches the Rfam family "Bacterial small subunit ribosomal RNA", at positions 29 to 507 of the family's 1533-position model. The record is from RNAcentral.